UAGGGCUGAGCAGAAUUCGGUUUAAACCGAAAUAACCGACCGAACCGAACCGAUUUGAAAUUUUGGUUCGGUUUUAUUUUUUUUUCGGUUCGGUUCGGUUUGAAAUUUUAAAAAAAUCGGUAAUUUCGGUUCGGUUCGGUUUUAGACGUAAAAAUUUCGAUUAGACCGAACCGAACCGAAAUCACUUAUACUACGUCGUUUGAGUAGUUUCCUAAUUCCCUAUUUCCCUUCCCUUCCCUUCCUUUGCCUAAAUUUAAAACAAAUUUCUCUCUCCGUGCGUGCAUCUCUAUCUCUGUGCUCACCCACCCCUAAACCUAACGCCCUCACCUCUCAACGUGCCUCGCCUCUGAGUUCCAUCCAAGUUCCAGCGGCGGUUCCACCAUCCACCGUCCACCGUCCACCGUCCAGCCUCCGGUCUCUUUCUGAGUAGUAGAGCCACGCACGCAUCUCGUCGCGAGAUUCUCGCGCAUGUGAUGUGCCUCCACUCUCCUCUCGACUGGACUGAUUCACCAUCGUCGAUCUUCACCGAUCUUUAGUCUCUCUUUCCACGCAAUCAUCGGCGUCGGCCGUUGCUCUCUAUUGGCUCUCCACGCAUCAUCGGGCAGUCGGCAAUUUGGUCGUGCUUAUUCCACAGCCCUCAGUCCUCUCCGAGUCUCUGUGUCGCGCUUCCAGCCUUGAGCCUUUCACAGUUCGUGGACCAGACUCCGGGACCAAGAGUGCCACUCGCGCCUCCAGCCCUCGGUUGUGUCGGACAUGGUUGCCUGCCAGUGCCACGGCGUGCUGUUGAACUUGAGUCAACCGUAGAAGCUAAGUAAAUAUUUGUGAUUUGCUGUUGAUUGUUGAAUUUAUGUACUCUUGGUUGAAUUUGUGUACUAUUGAUUGUUGAAUUUGUGUUAUUGAUUGUUCAAGUGUGUGCUCUGCUCUUGAUUGUUGAUGUAAACUCAUGGCCGUGAAGUAUUCUGUUCUAGAUUAUGUUAACUGUUAUUAUUUUUUUUUUAAAAUCGGUUCAAUCGAUUGAACCGACCGAACCGAACCGAACCGAAUCAAAUCGGUUCGAUUCGGUUAUCCCUCUUAUUCGGUUCGGUUCGGUUUAUGUAAAAUACUGCAAUUCGGUUUUCGGUUAUUUCGGUUCGGUUCGGUUUUGAACCGAACCGACCGAAUGCUCAGCCCUAGGUGGAGGUGACAGAAGAGUUCACUCUAUCAAAAUCCUCGGCUUCAUCUUGAAAUAUCUCUUUAUUUCAAAAUUCGCUAUCAUUAAAAAAAAGGAAAAGUUUAACGGAUCAACUUGAUCAACGAUAGAUAUAGAUCAACAAGAUUAUUUGUAUAAUUUUAAUAAUAUUAGUCCCUUUUAUGUAUAUUCUAUUUAAUUUAGGCAAAAUAAUAAAAUAAUUAAAUUUUUUUUCAUCUUUUAUAAAUUAUAAUCAAUAUUUUUAAUUUUAUCUAAUUUAACUUAAUUUUAAAUGCUAAUAGUAAUUAUGUCAUAAUUUUAAUUGAGACAUAAAAAUUUUAUGAAAAAAUUAACACUAACUCAAAAUUUAAAAGAAAAUCUUUUAUAUUUACUGCACACAUCAAUAAAAUUCAUAUCUCAAAAUAAAUUUUUAAUUAUGAUUAAUAUUAACUUUUAAAAUUAAAUUAAAUUAGACAAAAUUAAAAAUAUUAGCUAUAAUUAAGAAAAAGGUGAAAAAUUUAAUUAUUUCUGCAUAUUUUACUUCACCAUUUUAACUUAUUUCUACAUAAAUAAUUUAGUUAUUUAUCAAUAUGAAUAUAAAAUUCAGGUUAAACAAUUUAUUAAUCAAAUCGAUUAAACUGAAUUAAUUAUAUCGAUUGAUUUAAUUUAUAAAUAAAAAUUUUAUUUGUAAGAAAUCACUGUGAUCUAAUAUAAAUCGAGCCGAUUAAUUCAUCAUACUACAAAUAAAUAUUUAAUUCAAAUCAAUCACUAUCUCAAUUUAAAAAAUAUAAUUUUAAAUGAUGUUAGGAUAUGAAGUUGGUAUUAAGAAUCGAAGAAUUACAGAAUUAAAAAUAAAUACAAAAAAUAAAUAAUAUAUUGAUUUAAUUUCGUUUAUUAAUUUGAUUACGUCCAAUUAAAAUUUUAUUAAUAUAUUCAUAUUAAUAAAAUUCAUAAUAAUCAUUAGUCUUUAUAUCUCACAUAAUAAAUAAUUAAUAUAUUCAUAUUACCGCAUCAACCAUACCUAUCUUAAAACAUUAUUACAACAAUUAUUUAUAUAACUAACUUUGUUUAAAUUAUUACAUAAUUUUUUUAUAUCAUAUUAUAUAAAUAAUUAGUAAAUGUUAACCUAUAAAAAUAAAAAAAUAAAAAUUCUUAAUUUCACCGGCUUAUAUGAAUAAUUUAUUUAUUAGUAUGUUAAAUUAAAUUAUUAGAUUUUUUUUAUUAUUUCUUAUACAAUAACCAGUGUAUAUCUUUCAUUAUUGAUAUGCAUGAAUUUAUUAUUAUAAAAAAUAUUUACUAUUUAGUUAUUAAAAAAUUUAUUAAAACAUUUUUUUAAUAAAAUAUUACUUUUAUUUAAAAAUAUAAUAAAAAAUUAAAUUAUUUUUUUAUUAUUUCAUUGAUUAAAAGAAAAAAUAAUUAAGAAUAUUUAAUAUAUUUAAAAAAAUAAUAAUAUUUUAAUAAAUUUUAAAAAAUAUAAAAAAUAACGUAUUAAUAAUAGCAAUAUCUAAAAAUUAAAUAAAUAGUUUUAUUUAAAUAUAAAAUUAAAUUUUAAAAAUUACCUAUUAUUUUUCAUCUAUUUUUUAAAAAUAAAUAAAAAAAUAACUAUUUUGUUGACGAAUAAAAAAUAUAAAAAUAUUUUAAUAAAUUUUUAAAAAUAUAAAAAUUGAUUUAUUAUUAAUAGUCAUAUUCAUAAAUUAAAUAAUAAAUUUCUUUAAAAAAUAUUUUAAAUAAUUCUUAAUUAUAAAUUUUUUUAAUUAAAAUUUUAACUUUCUUUCCAAAAAAUUACAUAUUAUAAUUUUAUGAAAAAUAUUUUUUAAUUAUUUAUAAAAUGUAAAAAGGUAUAACGUUUGGAAGUAUUAUUAUUAUUAAUUCUAUAAAUAUUAUUUAAUAAUAUACCGCUUCAACUUUAAUUCAAUUUCAGUUAAAUUCUAAGCCCAUAAGCCUCCGUUUUCAUUGAUAAUGAUCGAUAAGGUUUAAAACAUGGCGUAUUUUAAUUUUAGAAAAAAUAUUAUUUAGUCUUUUAAAGAAAUUAAUUAAUUAUUUUAUUAAUUUUUAAAAAAUAAUAUUAUAAAAAAUUUACUAUUUAAUUUUUUUUAUUAAUUUUACUAUUAAGUAUUUUACUACUUAAUUUCUAUAAUUUUAAAGAAUUUAUUAGUGAAUUUUUUAAAUUUUUUAAAAAUUUACUAAUUAAUCUCACCUUGUAUUAAAGUUAUUUUAAAUUUUUUUAUAAUAUUUAACUGUUAAAACUAAUAAAAAGACUAAUUAAUAGACUUUUUUAAUAUAUUUUUUAAAAUUGAAAGAACUAACUAAUAAAUUUUCAUUUAAUUUAAUAUACUAACUAAUUUAUUAAACUUAAUUAUAUAAUUAAGCUAAUUUUUCAUAUAACAUGCCUAUGUUAAUGAGCUAGCUAAGUAACUUUUUUAACAUAGGUUAAAGUAGAAUAUUUUUUAUUUGACUAAUUAAUAAAUCACAUAAAAAUUAUUUUUAUAUAUAUUGAUAAAAGUUGAUAUCCAAUGAUUUGUGAUUAAUAGACAUAUUUUUCAAUUAAAUUACUUUAAUAAAAAUAAUAAUUUUUUAUUAUUUAAAAGAUAAUAUAAUUUUUUUAUUAUUUGCCUCAAUAACUAUAAGAUAAAUAUGGCAUUGAGUCCACUUAUAAAACCUUUUUUAUUUACAUUUAAUAUAAAUUAUUUAGUAUGAUUGAUUUUAUAAAAAAUAAAAUUAUAUAAGAUUUAUUUUUUUUUAUAAAAAUUUUUUAAGUUAAAAAUAUUAAAUUAAAUUUUUAUAAAAUUUUUUAUUUUAAAUUGAGAAUGGAAAUGGAAAUGGGGCCCAAUGGGAAACUCAUUCGAAAUUGUGGUUUAAAGAGGUAUAGUUGGGUGUGGUUGAAGACUAGAGAAGUUGACUCGUGACAUAAUGGACAUUUUUGUUUUUGCUUGGUUUUCUUAAUAAACAAGCUAAUAGAAUUGCUUAAAAGUCCAAUACUUUUAAUUUUAUUGAUAAAAAAUAUAAUAAUUAAUAAUUAAUUAAAAAUAUAUAAUAAAUAAUUUUCAAGUAAUAAAAUAAAGAAAAUUGAACAAUUACUUGAAAAAGGAACGUGAAGUGACUUUUCUCUUGUAUAACUGGAAAAGAUUUCAUAGAUUAUAACACCCUAAUUUCUAGAUGAAUAUAUUGAUGAUCGUCGGGUCUCACACUGUUUUUGGACUACAUCCGGCUCAUGAGAACAUCCAUUCACCCUCACGGGUUCCUGGCAUGAUUUGUCCCCUUGAGUUCUUGCAUCGCAUCCUUCUCCAAGUGGAUUUGGCCCAAAUUUCCCUUUGGAAAUACGAGUUCCUGGCAGAAUUUGUCCCCUUGAGUUCUUGCAUCGCAUCCUUCCCCAAGUGAAUUUAGCCCAAAUUUCCCUUUGGAAAUUGCAACAUCCGGCUCAUGAGAACAUCCAUUCACCCUCACGGGUUCCUAGCAGGAUUUGUCCCCUUGAGUUCUUGCAUCGCAUCCUUCCCCAAGUGGAUUUGGCCCAAAUUUCCCUUUGGAAAUUGCCUCCCCACUACUCGAACCCUUGACCUCCCACUUUAAGAGAAUAGUCUGGUGAGAGUGAGUACCACUUGUUCCAUUGGCACAAUUGGUACUCACUCUCACCAGACUAUUUUCUUAGAGUGGGAGGUCAAGGGUUCGAGUAGUGGGGGAGGCGACCUAAUUUCCCUUCCGGGCCAAAUCCACUUGGGGAAGGAUGCGAGAACCUAAGGGGAUAAAUCCUGCCAGAAACUAUCCCCAGGAACCCGUGAGGGUGAAUGGAUGUUAAGAGCUGUUCACGACGCCAGUGGAAAGCUCGAGGUGGCACAGGCCAGGCGAGGGAUAGCCCUGGGCCGUGAACGGUAACAGUGCCGGGGUUCACGUCCGGGCUGUUACAUAAAAAGGCAAAGUACAAAAGUGAUUUUUAAAUAAAAGUAAGGAUUAAAGUGUAAUUUGAGUUUUUAAAAGACAGCACGUGAUCCACCUUUUCCUACCUCCUGUGCUAGUCUUCGGAUCAACUUUUGUUCACCGAAGCAAUAAUAGAGAAAGGGUAAAUGACUAUUAAAUCCUUUUAUUUUUUAUGAAUUUCAUUAAUUCGUCUCUAUUUCAAAUCACUCCAUUAAAAUAUCAAUGCAUUUUAUAAAAUGCAACUUUUAAGUCCAUCUGCUAAAAAAAUAUUAUUUAUAAUUUUAAAUAUUUAUAUCAUUUAGACCGUUUGACCGCGAAGGAGAUUUUAGAAAAUAUUGAAAUGUUUUUUAAUUGAAUAAUUUUUAAAUAAGAAUGAAUUAAUAGAAUUUUUAAAAGCCUAAAGACUUAAAGUAAUUUUUCUAAAAAGAGAAGGGUAAAAAGAGGAAAAAAAAAUUUAAAAACAAAAAAAAGAAAAGGAAAGGGGAAGAAAUAAAGAUAGAAGAAAAGAAGAAAAAGAGAAGAAGGAUGAAAGCAAGAGACCAGAAAUCAUUUCCAUAAGAAAGGAUUACUGGAAAAGGAAGAGAAGGAGAGCAAGAAAGGAAGGAAAGCAAAAUACGAAGAGAGAGAAGAACAAUGGCUUUUUUCUGCUAGUAAGGUGAGUUUUGCUUUAAUUUUUAAGUAUGUUUGAGAUUUAUAUGCUAAAAAAUUAUGAUUUUAAUUUGAUAAUUUUUCAAUAGUUGAAUUUAGAUAAAUAAUUUAUUAAAUAUGGAUUGUCUUAUUUUAAAUUAAAAAAAAAUAAUUUAAAAUUUUAAAGAGUUAAAUGUAUUACUUGAUAUUUUGAGAUAUAGUGGCAUUUUGAGGCUAAUUAAUUUGGUUAAUAUUUAAUUUAAAUUUUUAUAAAAUUAAUUAAUUUAUUUUUAUUUUUAAAUAUUAAAACAUUUUAUAUUUUAUAAAAUAUAGCUUUUUAAUUUUUCCGUUACAAAAAUCAAUAAUUAUUAUAAAUUAUUUAUAUUUUUUAAUUUUUAUAAUUUUUAACUAUAUAUAUUAUUUAAUCUUUAUAAUUUUGAAUAUUCAUACUAUUAAGUUUACUUUACUAAAAUUAAAAUAAAUUGAUAAAUAAUUUUUUUAAUAUAAAAAUUAAAAGUAUAUUUUAUAAAAUUUAGUAAAUUUUUUAAAAAAAUUUAGAAAUCUGCUAAUAAUUCUCUCAUUUCUUUUACUUUGAGGGAUGCUUCUCAUUUAAUAUUUAACAUACGUUGUUCAUAGGGUUUUCCUGUUUGAACUCCAUGCUUUUUUGCUUCAAUCAUCAAUAUGAAGAGCUGUUUGAGUCUCAGUCGUCGAUGUAAGGAGUAUUGGUCUCACUGUCGCAUCUUUUUUUGCAAGCCAGUCUUUUUCAUCUCAGGUAUUUGGUUAUUUUGUAAUAAGCAGUGGACUCAGUUAUGUGUCACUUAUUUAUUUGUAGCAAUAAAACAAUAUAAUUGUAGUUUAGAGUAAUUAUAUAUUAUAUUAAUCUGAUUAUGAUGGCCAAACACAUGUAUUUUUGCUGUCUAUUGUUAGUUAAUAUGAUUUCUUGAUUAAAAAAAAAAAAUUAAAAUUUUUAUGUGGGGAGAAAAUAUUUUCAAUAUAAAAUAAUUUUAAAUACAAAUUAUUUUUCACAUAAUAAUAAAUUUUCUUAAAGAUUUAGAGAAACAAAAUUAAAGCGGAUCGGAUGAAUUUUAGGUUUGAUAUUGAGCCAUGCCUUCGUGGAGAAUGCUGUGAUAUUCCCUUUUAUCACAUAUAUAAUGGAUAAUUGGAAGAAUCAGACUCUUCCAAAAGCUGCAGCAAUCGUGAAUGUACAAGAAGGCCUUUCAACCUUUUUCAGGCUUA
This 6943-nucleotide long non-coding RNA is filed under the name Manihot esculenta (cassava). RNAcentral describes it as "long non-coding RNA (MESC_LNC003811)". Lineage: Eukaryota; Viridiplantae; Streptophyta; Magnoliopsida; Malpighiales; Euphorbiaceae. The record is from RNAcentral.